Molecule: ribosomal RNA, 117 nt
Organism: Otolemur garnettii (small-eared galago)
Lineage: Eukaryota; Metazoa; Chordata; Mammalia; Primates; Galagidae
Source: Ensembl
AUCUGUGGCCAUACCACCUUGAAUAUCCCUGAUCCUCUGACCUUCAAAGCCAAUCAGGGCUGGGCCUCAUUAGUACUUGUAUAGGAGACAUUCUGGGAGUACUGGGUGCUAUAGGUU